This 468-nucleotide ribosomal RNA is filed under the name uncultured bacterium. RNAcentral describes it as "partial 16S ribosomal RNA". It matches the Rfam family "Bacterial small subunit ribosomal RNA", at positions 28 to 507 of the family's 1533-position model. The record is from RNAcentral.
GACGAACGCUGGCGGCGUGCUUAACACAUGCAAGUCGAACGGAAAGGCCCUGCUUUUGUGGGGUACUCGAGUGGCGAACGGGUGAGUAACACGUGAGUAACCUGCCCUUGACUUUGGGAUAAGUUCAGGAAACUGGGGCUAAUACCGGUUAGGAGCUCCUGCUGCAUGGGGGGGGUUGGAAAGUUUCGGCGGUUGGGGAUGGUCUCGCGGCUUAUCAGCUUGUUGGUGGGGUAGUGGCUUACGAAGGCUUUGAUUGGUAGCCGGCCUGAGAGGGUGACCGGGCACAUUGGGACUGAGGUACGGCCCAGACUCCUACGGGAGGCAGCAGUGGGGAAUAUUGCACAAUGGGCGGAAGCCUGAUGCAGAAACGCCGCGUGCGGGAAGACGGGCUUCGGGUUGUAAACCGCUUUCGCAUGUGACGAAGCGUGAGUGACGGUAAUGGGUAAAGAAGCACCGGCUAACUACGUG